Molecule: ribosomal RNA, 253 nt
Filed under: uncultured bacterium
Lineage: Bacteria
Description: partial 16S ribosomal RNA
Rfam family: Bacterial small subunit ribosomal RNA
Source: RNAcentral
UACGUAGGGUGCAAGCGUUGUCCGGAAUUAUUGGGCGUAAAGAGCUCGUAGGCGGUCUGUCGCGUCGGCUGUGAAAACUCGAGGCUCAACCUCGAGACGUCGGUUGAAACCGUUUGGCUAGAGUCCGGAAGAGGAGAGUGGAAUUCCCGGUGUAGCGGUGAAAUGCGCAGAUAUCGGGAAGAACACCCGUGGCGAAGGCGGCUCUCUGGGACGGUACUGACGCUGAGACGCGAAAGCGUGGGGAGCGAACAGG